AAUGAAUGGGGUCCCAUUUAUAUAAUAGGGGAACCCUAAAUAAGGUAUAUUUUUAUUUACAAUAAAGAAUAUUCUUGAUACAAUUGUCUAACCGCCUAGUAUCGUACAAUUCUAUUUCGGGAUUUGAGCCAUGAUCUUGGGGACGUGACAAGAAUCUAGCUCAUCCUGUUACAAAUAUAUAAUGGUACUAUUUCGGGGACGAGCAUACUCGACUUCGGUCUUCCUCGUACUCCUAUAUCCGGGCAUUGCGUCCUGUCUCUGAACUCGAGUCUGGUCCAUCGGGCUCAAACUCGAUCUCACCCUCGAGCCUAUAAAUUGGGAUUUUGACAUUUACAAAAUUAUACAAUAUCACUAUUGCUCAUAUUAAAAUGGCAGAGAACUAUAUUUAUUUGGGAAAGGGUCAAGUACAUCCUAUCUCAUACAAGAUAGGAAUAAGUUUUGUAUGCACUUUACCUUCUCAAAGUCUUAUUUGUUGGAAUUGGGAUCAUACAGAGUAUAUUAUAUUAUUGGUCGUUGUCAAUUAUAUCCUAUGCUAAAUGAAAUAUUUCAAUUUUAUUAUUACUAUUAUUAUACAAUGGAGUCAUUAAUAGCUUCAUUUUUUCGAAUUUGCAUAUUUUCAUAAAGCAACAACAACAACAACAACUACCCAGUAUACUCCCACCAGGUGGGGUCUAGGGAGGGUAAUAU
RNAcentral lists this long non-coding RNA (687 nucleotides) under Nicotiana benthamiana. RNAcentral describes it as "long non-coding RNA (NBEN_LNC028856)". Lineage: Eukaryota; Viridiplantae; Streptophyta; Magnoliopsida; Solanales; Solanaceae. The record is from RNAcentral.